RNAcentral lists this ribosomal RNA (2704 nucleotides) under Klebsiella pneumoniae. Its description in RNAcentral is "bacterial LSU rRNA". It matches the Rfam family "Bacterial large subunit ribosomal RNA". Lineage: Bacteria; Pseudomonadati; Pseudomonadota; Gammaproteobacteria; Enterobacterales; Enterobacteriaceae. The record is from RNAcentral.
AUCUAAGUACCCCGAGGAAAAGAAAUCAACCGAGAUUCCCCCAGUAGCGGCGAGCGAACGGGGAGCAGCCCAGAGUCUGAAUCAGCUUGUGUGUUAGUGGAACGGUCUGGAAAGUCCGACGGUACAGGGUGAUAGUCCCGUACACCAAAAUGCACAGGUUGUGAACUCGAAGAGUAGGGCGGGACACGUGGUAUCCUGUCUGAAUAUGGGGGGACCAUCCUCCAAGGCUAAAUACUCCUGACUGACCGAUAGUGAACCAGUACCGUGAGGGAAAGGCGAAAAGAACCCCGGCGAGGGGAGUGAAAAAGAACCUGAAACCGUGUACGUACAAGCAGUGGGAGCACCUUCGGGUGUGACUGCGUACCUUUUGUAUAAUGGGUCAGCGACUUAUAUUCUGUAGCAAGGUUAACCGUAUAGGGGAGCCGCAGGGAAACCGAGUCUUAACUGGGCGUUAAGUUGCAGGGUAUAGACCCGAAACCCGGUGAUCUAGCCAUGGGCAGGUUGAAGGUUGGGUAACACUAACUGGAGGACCGAACCGACUAAUGUUGAAAAAUUAGCGGAUGACUUGUGGCUGGGGGUGAAAGGCCAAUCAAACCGGGAGAUAGCUGGUUCUCCCCGAAAGCUAUUUAGGUAGCGCCUCGUGAACUCAUCUUCGGGGGUAGAGCACUGUUUCGGCUAGGGGGUCAUCCCGACUUACCAACCCGAUGCAAACUACGAAUACCGAAGAAUGUUAUCACGGGAGACACACGGCGGGUGCUAACGUCCGUCGUGAAGAGGGAAACAACCCAGACCGCCAGCUAAGGUCCCAAAGUCAUGGUUAAGUGGGAAACGAUGUGGGAAGGCACAGACAGCCAGGAUGUUGGCUUAGAAGCAGCCAUCAUUUAAAGAAAGCGUAAUAGCUCACUGGUCGAGUCGGCCUGCGCGGAAGAUGUAACGGGGCUAAACCAUGCACCGAAGCUGCGGCAGCGACACUAUGUGUUGUUGGGUAGGGGAGCGUUCUGUAAGCCUGCGAAGGUGUGCUGUGAGGCAUGCUGGAGGUAUCAGAAGUGCGAAUGCUGACAUAAGUAACGAUAAAGCGGGUGAAAAGCCCGCUCGCCGGAAGACCAAGGGUUCCUGUCCAACGUUAAUCGGGGCAGGGUGAGUCGACCCCUAAGGCGAGGCCGAAAGGCGUAGUCGAUGGGAAACAGGUUAAUAUUCCUGUACUUGGUGUUACUGCGAAGGGGGGACGGAGAAGGCUAUGUUAGCCGGGCGACGGUUGUCCCGGUUUAAGCAUGUAGGCUGAUUGUCCAGGCAAAUCCGGAUAAUCAAGGCUGAGGUGUGAUGACGAGGCACUACGGUGCUGAAGUAACAAAUGCCCUGCUUCCAGGAAAAGCCUCUAAGCAUCAGGUAACAUUAAAUCGUACCCCAAACCGACACAGGUGGUCAGGUAGAGAAUACCAAGGCGCUUGAGAGAACUCGGGUGAAGGAACUAGGCAAAAUGGUGCCGUAACUUCGGGAGAAGGCACGCUGGUGUGUAGGUGAAGUCCCUGCGGAUGGAGCUGAGACCAGUCGAAGAUACCAGCUGGCUGCAACUGUUUAUUAAAAACACAGCACUGUGCAAACACGAAAGUGGACGUAUACGGUGUGACGCCUGCCCGGUGCCGGAAGGUUAAUUGAUGGGGUUAUCCGUAAGGAGAAGCUCUUGAUCGAAGCCCCGGUAAACGGCGGCCGUAACUAUAACGGUCCUAAGGUAGCGAAAUUCCUUGUCGGGUAAGUUCCGACCUGCACGAAUGGCGUAAUGAUGGCCAGGCUGUCUCCACCCGAGACUCAGUGAAAUUGAACUCGCUGUGAAGAUGCAGUGUACCCGCGGCAAGACGGAAAGACCCCGUGAACCUUUACUAUAGCUUGACACUGAACAUUGAGCCUUGAUGUGUAGGAUAGGUGGGAGGCUUUGAAGCGUGGACGCCAGUCUGCGUGGAGCCAACCUUGAAAUACCACCCUUUAAUGUUUGAUGUUCUAACGUUGGCCCCUUACCGGGGUUGCGGACAGUGUCUGGUGGGUAGUUUGACUGGGGCGGUCUCCUCCCAAAGCGUAACGGAGGAGCACGAAGGUUAGCUAAUCCUGGUCGGACAUCAGGAGGUUAGUGCAAUGGCAUAAGCUAGCUUGACUGCGAGCGUGACGGCGCGAGCAGGUGCGAAAGCAGGUCAUAGUGAUCCGGUGGUUCUGAAUGGAAGGGCCAUCGCUCAACGGAUAAAAGGUACUCCGGGGAUAACAGGCUGAUACCGCCCAAGAGUUCAUAUCGACGGCGGUGUUUGGCACCUCGAUGUCGGCUCAUCACAUCCUGGGGCUGAAGUAGGUCCCAAGGGUAUGGCUGUUCGCCAUUUAAAGUGGUACGCGAGCUGGGUUUAGAACGUCGUGAGACAGUUCGGUCCCUAUCUGCCGUGGGCGCUGGAGAAUUGAGGGGGGCUGCUCCUAGUACGAGAGGACCGGAGUGGACGCAUCACUGGUGUUCGGGUUGUCAUGCCAAUGGCACUGCCCGGUAGCUAAAUGCGGAAGAGAUAAGUGCUGAAAGCAUCUAAGCACGAAACUUGCCCCGAGAUGAGUUCUCCCUGAGACUUUAAGUCUCCUGAAGGAACGUUGAAGACGACGACGUUGAUAGGCCGGGUGUGUAAGCGCAGCGAUGCGUUGAGCUAACCGGUACUAAUGAACCGUGAGGCUUAACCUU